AAUGAACGUUGGCGGCGUGGAUUAGGCAUGCAAGUCGAGCGAGAAGCUUUUAAAAGAUACUUCGGUUGAUUUUAAAAGUGGAAAGCGGCGAAAGGGAGAGUAACGAGUAGAUACGUACCCAGGGGUUCGGGAUAGCUGCGGGAAACUGCAGGUAAUACCGAAUAAUGUCUCCGGACCAAAAUUUAUUGCCCCCGGAUCGGUCUGCUUACUAUUAGCUUGUUGGUGGGGUAAAGGCCUACCAAGGCGAAGAUGGUUAGCGGGUGUGAGAGCAUGGCCCGUCUCACUGGGACUGAGACACUGCCCAGACACCUACGGGUGGCUGCAGUCGAGAAUCUUCGGCAAUGGACGAAAGUCUGACCGAGCGAUGCCGCGUGCGGGAUGAAGGCCCUCGGGUUGUAAACCGCUGUCAGUUGGGAGGAAAUCUAUAGGGGCACUCCCCUAUAGUUGACCUAUCUUCAGAGGAAGGACGGGCUAAGUUCGUG
RNAcentral lists this ribosomal RNA (482 nucleotides) under uncultured bacterium. Its description in RNAcentral is "bacterial SSU rRNA". It matches the Rfam family "Bacterial small subunit ribosomal RNA", at positions 29 to 507 of the family's 1533-position model. The record is from RNAcentral.